This is a long non-coding RNA of Leucoraja erinaceus (little skate), 12972 nucleotides long. RefSeq lists it as uncharacterized. NCBI's taxonomy places the organism in Eukaryota, Metazoa, Chordata, Chondrichthyes, Rajiformes, Rajidae. The transcript is spliced from 3 exons. The record is from RefSeq and is a predicted model, not a curated record.
AUGUGUGUUUUUAUUGGAGAUUUGAUUUUUAGUCAAGGCGGGCUUUCUAACUGGAGGUGUGUUUUUUAGUCGAGUCCGUUUUUUUACUCGUUUUUUUUGUAAUGGAUAGGUGGGAUUUUUACAAGAGGUGUGAUUUUUAACGUGUGCUUUUUUUUACUUGAGAUGGGCUUUUUAUUCGUGGUUUCCUUUUGCUCGAGUUAUUUUAACUCGGUGUGUUUUAACGUGUUUUUUUAUUUGAGCCUGGCUUUUUACUCGAUAUGGGUUUUUUUUAGUCAAUGCGGGCUUUUUACUUAAUACUAGUGGUUUCAUUUAACCUGAGAAACGGGUUUAACCCUAGCUGUGCUUUUUUCUCGUUUUUCACUCGUUAGUUGUUUUACUCAAGGUGAUUUUGUAACUGGGCGGUGGUUAUUUAGUCGGGGCGGAUGUUUAGGCGGGCUAGUUGACUGGAACAGGUUGUUUACAUAAGGGGUUGUCCACUCCAGCUGUACUUGCGACGCGCGCGGGCUUCGGAAACUUUCUCCGCCUCGGUUUCCCGCUCAAAAACAUUUCGUGCUAAUUGGACGAAGCCUGGGGUCCGAUCAGCGUUAGGGGGGCAAAGAUCUUUGGUUGCGGGCGGGUGCUGCGAGUGUUUAAAAGGCGGACGGGUCCGGCUCCCGCCUCCAGUCACGGAGCCGCUCUGGUGAAGGAACAUCGUGGUCGCCAGCUCCCAUUCCUAGCCCAUGUUCCUCAUUGGUUACUCUUGGUUUUUCGUGGCAUGUUUCUUUUAACUCCGAUAUGCUGUUUAUUCGAGGUGUUUUUUAGUUGCGGUGGACUUAUUACUGGUGUGGACGUGAAUCUGCGCACAGUCCAUGAUGUGAGCCACCGUUUUACCCAAAGAUAUUGGUGCAUCUAUAUACUUAACCCGCCUGGUCCAACCAUAGCUCUUGAAAGAGCCAGCCAAGGUAAGGUGCAAGAAAAAGCCUUUGAGCCCACUGGCAGGAGAAGGUCCUCACCUGAGGCUGACAAACAGGGUGAGUAUGAUAACACUUAGAGAAUUGUGUUUGUGUUGAUGGGUGUGUUACAAGGGAACAGGUUCAAGGAUCUGACUAGUAGAACAGAGAAAGGCUCACUCAUCAGUUUAGUUACAAAUCAGAUUUAUUGGCAAGAGAGAGAACAAAAACAAUACUUGUCUUGGUCAGUGCGGGGUCUGUUUUACAGAAGCACACCUCUCUCUCUGCCUCCAUCCGCGGCACUGAUCGCGACCCAGCCCAUCGGUGAACCCCUCUCAUACAUGAACUAACUUACGGCUUCCUGGCGCCUGCCUUUAUACAGGUAAGAAAUCAGCUGUUGAAAUAACCGCCGGUAAGUCCUGGCCAAUUGCGCUUCCCCCAAAUUCAAACUGUAACCAAUGGCAGGGGACUGCAUCCCAGCAAGCCCCGCCCACUUCCUUUGGGAACAAAGCGCUAUCAGCUGCAGACUGGUAUGUAGAGCAAUACACACAACGCUAGACUUGGUGCGCAAAUGAAUACACAUGGUGCUGCAGACUUGGUGUACAAAUCAAUACACACAGCGUUACAGACUUGGUGUACAAAUCAAUACACACAGCGUUACAGACUUGGUGUACAAAUCAAUACACACAGCGUUACAGACUUGGUGUACAAAUCAAUACACACAGCGUUACAGACUUGAUGUGCAAAUCAAUACACAGCAUUACAGACUUGGUGUACAAAUCAAUACAUGCAGCGUAACAGACAUGGUGUACAAUCAAUCAAUAAACACAGCGUUACAGACUUGGUGCGCAAAUCAAUACACACAGCGUUACAGACUUGGUGUACAAAUCAAUAUACACGGCGCUGCAGACUUGGUGCGCAAAUCAAUACAUAUAGCGUUACAGACUUGGUGUACAAAUCAAUAAACACAGCGUUACAGACUUGGUGUACAAAUCAAUACACACAGCGUUACAGACUUGGUGUACAAAUCAAUACACACAGCGUUACAGACUUGGUGCGCAAAUCAAUACACACAGCGUUACAGACUUGGUGUACAAAUCAAUACACACAGCGUUACAGACUUGAUGUGCAAAUCAAUACACAGCAUUACAGACUUGGUGUACAAAUCAAUACACGCAGCGUAACAGACAUGGUGUACAAAUCAAUAAACACAGCGUUACAGACUUGGUGCGCAAAUCAAUAUACACGGUGCUGCAGACUUGGUGCGCAAAUCAAUACAUAGAGUGUUACAGACUUGGUGUACAAAUCAAUAAACACAGCGUUACAGACUUGGUGCGCAAAUCAAUAUACACGGUGCUGCAGACUUGGUGCGCAAAUCAAUACACAUAGCGUUACAGACUUGGUGCGCAAAUCAAUACACAGCGUUACAGACUUGGUGCGCAAAUCAAUACACACAGCACUAGACUUGGUGCGCAAAUCAAUAUACACGGUGCUGCAGACUUGGUGCGCAAAUCAAUAUACACGGUGCUGCAGACUUGGUGCACAAAUCAAUACACACAGCGUUACAGACUUGGAGCGCAAAUCAAUACACAGCACUAAAGACGGCGCUCAAAUCAAUUCACACAGCGCUUCAGACUUGGCACGUAAAGGUAAUACACGGUGCUGCCGGUUCGAUGCUGAAAGGUUUAAACAGCGCUGUCGGCUUAACGUGCUGAAAUUUAAACAAAGAGCUAUCAGCUACAGUGCUAUCGGUUCUAAAUAUAGCGUUACUGGCCACAGCGAUUUGGGCUUUAAACACAACUCUAUGGGUCACUGAUUGUUCAGGCAAAAUUCUCGUAUGUUAUGAAUUUCUGUGCUAAUAGGCAAUGGAUCCAAUGUCUCUUCAGUAGCUAAAAGCUGCUUCUUUGCAAUGGCUGAUGGUAAUUUUUUUACUCGUGUGAAUUUUAGUUAAAGCCUGCUUUUUAUUGGAGAUUGUUGUUUGCUUAGUCGAGGCGGGCUUUUUAUUCGUGCUUUUUUUAAACUUUUUCACCUCGAGGUGUGUUUUUUAGUCGAGGCGGACUUUUAACUGGUGAGAACAAAUCUGCGCACUGUCCAAUCUGCGAGUCACCAUUGUACCCAAAGACAUAGGCGCGUCUACAAGCUUACCCCGCCUGGUCCAACCAUAGCUCUUGAAAGAGCCACCGAAGGUAAGGUGCAGAAAUAAGCCUUUGAGCCUGCUGGCAGGAGAUAGUGAUCACCUGAGGUCGACUACCAGGGUAUGUAUGAUAACACUUAAAGAAUCGUGUUUGUGUUGAUGAGUGUGUAAUGAUGAAUUCCUGUGCUAAAAGGCGAUGGAUCAAAUGUCUGUUCAGCUGCUAAAAGCUGCUUUUUGCAAUGGCUAUGAUGAUAAUUUUGACAGGAGGAUGAGCGUCAUAUAAAGCCAGUGAAUAUGUGAUAAUGAUGUCUCUCCUUUCCAGGGAUGGGAACACCCACCAGCGAUUCAAUACUGGCUAAAAGAAAGUGAAAGAGAUACCAAAUGGAAGUGAAAGAGAUACCAAAUGAAAGAUCUUUCCAAGAAAAACCAAGAGAGCAAGAACAGCAAAAUUGAUGCAGAUUAUCUCCGGGAAAAGCCAAGAGUUCACAGACCAGAAGUAGCUGGAGAUGGAGACAACAUCAAUGGGAAACCUGGUCAUACCGUGGAUCUGAAUGGAAAACCCGUACUGCCUGGAAGCCCACGAGGUGCUCCUUAGGGAGGCCAUCUGAAAUCUAUCUGAAGGAUGAGAUCAGUACUACCAGAGCUCAGCUGUCAUAGACCCACUGAAGGCCAGUGAGCUUAACUUGGCCAGGUUGUGCACGUGAUCCGUCCAAGGAGAAAAUUGUUCCCUGUCCGAGAAGAUGAAAUACAUCUACAACCUUCCUUCAAGAGAUAAGGUACGUAGAAGAGAAUGAUAUUUGGGAUGACGAUCCUGUAAUACUGUUCUAUGAAGGCAAUUAUACGUGGAAAGCUGAUCGCCCUGACAUCAUCACAAAAAAAGGCCCGGCUAGCUACGUAUGAACAUAAAGUAGAAAAAUUGAAAGAAUUGGAUAAAAAACAAAAACAUACAGGAUCAGUUGGUACUAAAACAGAUUAAGGAAAUAAGAGGGGGAGAUAGAAACAUAGAAAACAGGUGCAGGAGUAGGCCAUUCGGCCCUUCGAGCCUGCACCGCCAUUCAAUAUCAUGGGCUGAUCAAUGACGGAUCCAUCACAAAUCCAUCACAUGGCUGAGAUAGAUGAGAUCCUCAGGGGAGAUAUGGAAAAAAGGGCAAGAUUUGUAAAGCAGACCUAUUAUGAAGCAGGUCCAAAAGCAACGAGACUCCUGGCCAGACGCCUGCGCUAACAGCAGGCCUCUAAUACAAUUCAUAAAAUAAGAUCCUAAAACCAAUCAAUUAUCACAUAAGCCAGAUGAGAUAGAAAGAAUAUUUGAAGAAUACUAUAAGAAACUAUUCUAAACCACCAUUAGCUGACGAAAGGACAACGAGAAAUUUUCUUAACUCACUUGAUCUGCCAUCCAUUGGUGAGACACAAAAUAAUACCAUUACGUCACAAUUUGCGGUGAAUGAGCUGGAAGCUGCAAUCAGUAGACUUGAGGCUAGUAAAUCACCAGGCAGCGAUGGGUUUCCACCAGAAUGGUACAAGGCCCUUAAGAAAAAGCUAACACGUCUGCUCCUGUCUUGCUUUAACUGGAUCCUUAAAGAGGGCAGGGCUCCCCCAUCAUGGAAGGAAGCAAUUAUUACCAUUUUACCCAAGGAAGGCAAAGACAAAGAGCAAUGUAAACAUUUCAGGCCAAUCUCAAUUUUAAAUGUAGACUACAAACUAUUUACCUCAAUCAUUUGCAAAAGACUCGAGACUUUUGUCCCAGAUCUGAUUAAUGAAGACCAAACUGGAUUUAUUCGGGGGCGUCAAAAACACAGGAUAAUAUUAGAAGAACCCUCCACAUUGUGGAUAAUGCUCAAAAAAAUGAUACAAAUAUGGUCCUGGUCAGUUUAGAUGCAGAAAAAGCCUUUGAUAGUGUUAUUUGGGUAUUUUUUAUAUUAAGUACUAAGGAGAUUUGGUUUCAAUGAAGAUGCAAUUUGUUGUAUUAAAACAAUAUAUCAGAAGCCCACAGCUAGGAUUAAGAUAAAUGGAAACAUCAAAAAGGAUCCAGUUAGAGAGGAGCACAAGACAAAGAUGCUGUCUUUCUCCUACUCUCUUCGUUUUGUAUAUUGAACCCUUAGCACAAGCAAUAAGGCAGAGAGAAGACCUGCAGGGGGUCAAAAUAGGGGGGAAACAACAUAUUGGUCUUUUCGCUGAUGUCAUUAUUUUUCUUGAACAACCAGAUAUGUCUCCCAAAUCUAAUGAACCUAUUUGAAACAUAUGGAUACUACUCAGGGUACAAACUGAAUAUAACAAAAACACAAAUUCUUUCAUUCAAUUAUUCUCCAUCCCAACAAAUCAGAGAUGCAUAUAAUCUGAAAUGGAAUUCUAAAACAAUGCAGUAUCUUGGUGUAACUAUAACCAAAAACACUUUCCAACACGUUUGAAACUAAUUAUAACAAAAUUGAAGAAAACAUCAAAAAGUAUGUUGAAAGGUGGUCGACCCUUCCUCUAGACUUCAGUGCCAGAAUACAAACGGUAAAAAUGAAUAACCUACCUAAACUACUAUGUUUAUUCCAAUCUCACCCAAUUAAUGUUCCCCGAGACAAAUUCAUAGCCUGGGAUAAAAUGAUCUCUAGAUUCAUUUGGAAAAGCAAAAAACCAAGAAUAAAACUAACAACACUUCAACUGCCGAAAAGCAAGGUUGGAAUGGCUUUACCAAAUCUGAGGAAAUACUUUUAUGCAGCUCAACUCAGACCUCUGGCUUGUUGGUGUAGACCUGAUUAUGAAUCUCGAUGGGAAGAAAUGGAAAGGGAGAUACAGGGUUACCAGACCCAGAUUUUGGUGGGAGACAAAUAUCUGACAGGGGCUUUGAGACAUGCUAUGGAUCCAAUAGUAGCAUUUACGUUAGAAAGAUGGAAUGUUAUAGUGGAAAAAUACAAAUUAAAAAGAGGGGUUCACACAUUGAAGUGGUUCACAUAUGACUCAAAGUUUAAGCCAGGGGUGUAUGAUUCAAAAUUCAAAGAAUGAGCACAAAAAGGCAUAACGGCAAUGUAUACAAUUUCAGAAAAUGGCGAGUUUAUGAGCUUCCAAGAUUUAAAGUCAAAGUAUGGUCUCAAACAUAAAGAUUUUUUUAGAUACUUGCAAUAAAGAGACUAGGCCAGAACCAGAUGAAACUUCAAAUAAUGCGAUCAAGGUGAUUGUGGAUGUAUACAAACAGAAGGAGUCUCGGGUCAUCUCUGCUUUCUACCAAGCUCUGGUGGGAAGCGGGGGAAGAAUCAACGCUCUACAUAAAAACAAAAUGGGAAGCAGAAAUAAAGAUUCAAAUAAGAGAAGAAGAAUGGUAUCAAAUGUGCGAAACACAAUGUUCAUCUACAAGCUCACUAGUAUGGAGAGAAUUUUGCUGGAAGAAUCUAUCUCGCUUGUUUAUAACACCCAAAAUAAAAUGCAGACAACUUGCUGUCCAACAACACUGUUGGAGGCUGUGUGGGAGUACGGAGGCAGACCACUCGCAUAUUUUCAGGAACUGUAAAGAUAAGGCCAUACUGGGAAAAUGUUAUUGCAGUUGCAAAAAAUAUCUUGGGUUAUAAAAUCCCAAAUACCUGCCCUGUGAUGUAUCUGGUGCGUAUUAAAGAUAUUGUAAAAAUAUAAGAUACAUAUUUGAUUAAAGUUUUGCUUGUAGCAAGUAAGAAGGCCAUUACCAGGCAGUGAUUUAAUGAAAAAAGUCCAAAACAGGAACUGGUUCGAAAUUGUGUGAGACAUCUUUAAUAUGGAAACUUUAACAGAUUUGGUUUCCUGCUAAAAAAUCUGUUCAUGUUAUUGGACGAAACCCAAGGUCCGAUCAGCCUUGGGGGCGGGUGCUGCGAGCGUUUAAAUGGUGGAUGGGCCUGGCUCCCGCUUCCAGUCAUGGAGCCGCAUGUCCACAGGAAGCUCCGCAAUGUCAAGAUCGCCCUGACAGGAGCGCAGCACCAGGUCUCAUCGCUCCCCACCUGGUGCUGUUCCAUCCAGUGCUUCCAGCAAUCCAACAAAUCAAUAAAAAUCUGUUCAUGCUGAUUGGACAAAACCCAACAAAUCAAUAAAAAUUUAAGUGAAAAAAAAGAGAAAUAUGCAAGUAUAGUUCAGAUGAAGAAUUGAUGUUGAGACUUGGUAGCAGGUGUCAUAAUUUAUUAGUAAUGGCAUUGUGACAACGUAAAGUGCAAGUACUGAACACUACAUCCCCACUACAUCCCUUCUCCAACUUAUGGAUCCGUGUGUGAUAAUGCAUGGGACACGGUUGGUGUGUGAAUGGUGUUUGAUAAAAACUGCCUGCAUCUAGUGCCUGACCUGAGAGGUUUUGGGGUUGGUAAUGGUCUAUGAUUUUUUAUUUUUCUAUGGAUGUACGGAAACUAUUAUUUCUUUUAUGUAAACCACUUUGGUUUCAACGUGAGUUGAUUUAAACGUGCUAUAUAAAUAAAAUUUACAUACUAUGUCAAACCAGAGCAAAAGGUUGAGUUUGGCUUGGAAAGUAGGUUGUGAAGAGGUGAGUUGGAAGACAUGCAGAGUUAUUAGACUUAUUAAAGAGAACUGUCGCCCCAAGAUUUGCUUGACCUUAAAAGUGCGGGAACAUGAAGCAGUGAAGAUAGAGCAGGUUGAGGUUCUUUAAAAUCUAACAGCCAAAUGGUUGACAGAUGUAUUCUGAUGAAUUCAAGAUUCAAGAGAGUUUAUUGUCACGUGUCCCAGAUAGGACAAUGAAAAUCUUGCUUUGCUUCAGCACAACAGAAUAUGAUAGGCAUGAGAGUGAAGAUGGUCCAUAUAAUGAGGAUAAUGCAAAAGGUAGUAGAAAUGUGCUUUGGGUUCUGAAAUGUGUUGCUGGUGCAAUGUGGUUCAAGAAAAUGAUGGUUGAUGGAAAGAUGUAGUUCUUGAACCUGGAGAGAAUGAUUGUCAGGUUGCUGAGUAUCUUUUAAGAGGCACCAGCGAGAGCUGCAAUUUGUAUUUUAUUUUGUCUGGGUGCCUUAUUUCUCUAUUUGCUUACUUACAUACCCUGCAAGUGUAAUUCAGACCAGUAUUUGUUCUUCAGGCUGGGUAGAAAGAGUCAUAAUUUAUCUAGCUGCAAUACAAAGUAAAGAAUAAGCCUUUCUUUGAUUGAAUUGUUAAAGGGUGUGAGGUGGGCCAUCGAGGGGUGAGAAAGGGAGACAAUGUCAUCCAAAAGAGGCUUGGCUGCUCAGAACAGGGACACGGUGGGUGACGGAGAGAAGAUAAAGAAGAGGAGCCUGUGGCAAUGGUAGGUACAACAAAUCCUGAAAGUGACACCUGAAAGCCAAGGGAUCUCUGGUCAUGAAGCCUAUCCUUGUCAGAGGACAAACACCCUAUUCAAGUCAACACUAGACAAAAGGAUGCAGAAAUAACCAAGCAGAAAACAUACAUGGGAGGAACAGCAGCAUCAGAACCCUACACAGAUUGUCUCUUGGAAAACCAAGACAUCAUAACUGACCAGAAAGUAGCUUGAGCUAACGUCGAUGGGGAACUGGACUCUUCUUUGCAGUGUCAUUGGAUUCACCAUCAGGGCAAAGCCAGAAGAAAGAUAUCAAAUAGCCUGACCAACACUGAAAGGGAUCUGCAAGCAAGGCAGAAUCUCCAGGAUUGAUGCAUCUACUUGCUUGAAGAUGGAGCCAUCACCAAUUCAACACGGAAGAAUAGAAACCACCAGUGACGAUGAAGAGGAAAAGACAAAUCCAGGACUUAACAGGAGAGCAUGAGCAUCAUAACUGACGCUGCUUGUUGUUGGGAAACACAAGCGAGGAGGUUAAAGAGAGCAAGGUGUGCCGUCCAAGAGAGGAUUCCGCAGCUGAAGACGGGCCCUCGGUGGGUACCGGAGGACAGAGAGAAGAGGAAGAGGAGCAUGUGCCAAUGGAGGUUACGACAAAUGCAGAACAGGACACCUGAAAGACAGAUCUCUGGUAAAGAAGCAUAUCCUUGUCACAGGACAGAACCCACGCCCAAUUCAACACUGGACAAAAUGAGGAAGGAACAUACAUGGGAAAACAGGAGCAUCAGAACCCGACAACGGAUCAUCACUGUGUAAACCAAGGCAUCACAACUGACGAGAAGCAGCUGGAGCUAACGAUGAUUUAGAGUCAAGCAGGACUCCUCUUUGCAGUGUCAUUGGAUUCACCAGAAGAAAGAUGUCAAAUAGCCUGACCAGCUCUGGGAGGACUCUGCUAGCAAGGCAGAAUCUCUUGGAAUGAGCAUCUUUGACUUAAGAUGGAGCCAUCACUAAUUUAACACUGAACGAAAGAAAAUAGUAGUGAUGUCUAGGAGGAAAAGACCCAUCCAGGACCAAACAGGAGAUCAUGAGCUUCAUAACUGACGCUGCUUGUUGGUGGGAAUCACAGGCAAGGAAGUUGAAGAGAUCAAGUUGUGUCGUCCAAGAGAGGAUUCCGCAGCUGAAGACGGGCCCUCGGUGGGUGCCGGAGGUUGGACGUUACCGUGGAAGGUGCCGUACUGAAGAUGAAGAAAAGCAAGAAGCAAAGAUAGUUACCACAAAUGACCCACUUUCGUCACCCAAGCAAGAUGGUUAAAGGGAGUAAGUUGGGCCCUCAGGGAGCGAGGAAGAUGGAUGGAGCUGCCCAAGAGAGGAGUCAGCAGUUGAAGACGGGCCCUCGGUGAGUGCCGGAGGUUGGAGAGAAGACGACUAGAAGCAUGUGCCAAUUGUAAUUACGACAAAUGCAGAACGCGACACCUGUUUGCCAAGGGAUCUCUGGUUAUGAAGCUUAUCUUUGUCACAAGACAGAAGGCACACCCAAGUCAACACUGGACAAAAUGAGGAAGGAACAUACAUGGGAGGAACAGGAGCAUCAGAACCCUACCAUGGAUUGUCACUGGGAAAAGCAAGGCAUCAUAACUGACCAUAAGUAGCUGGAGCUAACGUAGAUGGGGAACCAAGCUGGACUCUUCUUUGCAGUGUCAUUGGAUUCACCAUCGGGGCAAAGCCUGAAGAAAGAUGUCAAAUAGCCUGACCAGCUCUGAAAGGGCUCUGCAAGCAAGACAGAAUCUCCAGGAAUUAUGCAGCUAUUUGCUUGAAGAAGGAGCCAUCACCAAUUUAACACUGAAGAAAAGAAAGCACUAGUGAUGACGAGGAGGAGGAAAAGACCCAGCCAGGACUUAACAGGAGAGCAUGAGCAUCACAACUGAUUCUGCUUGUUGUUGGGAAACACAAGCGAGGAGGUUAAAGAGAGCAAGGUGUGCCGUCCAAGAGAGGAUUCAGCAGCUGAAGACGGGCCCUCGGUGGGUACCGGAGGUUGGACGAAGACGGGCCCUCGGUGGGUGCCGGAGGACAGAGAGAAGAGGAAGAGGAGCAUCUGCCAAUGGAGGUUACGACAAAUGCAGAACAGGACACCUGAAAGACAGAUCUCUGGUAAUGAAGUAUAUCCUUGUCACAGGGCAGAACCUACACCCAAUUCAACACUGGACAAAAUGAGGAAGGAACAUACAUGGGAGGAACAGGAGCAUCAGAACCAGACAACGGAUCAUCACUGUGUAAACCAAGGCAUCACAACUGACCAGAAGUAGCUGGAACUAACAAUGAUUGAGAACCAAGCUGGACUCCACUUUGCAGUGUCAUUGGAUUCACCAGAAGGGCAAAGCCAGAAGAAACAUGUCAAAUAGCGUGACCAGCUCUGGGAGGGCUCUGCUAGCAAGGCAGAAUCUCCAGGAAUGAUGCAUAUUUGACUUAAGAUGGAGCCAUCACCAAUUUAACACUGAACGAAAGAAAACGUUAGUGAUGUCUAGGAGGAAAAGACCCAUCCAGGACCAAACAGGAGAUCAUGAGCUUCAUAACUGACGCUGCUUGUUGGUUGGAAUCACAGGCAAGGAAGUUGAAGAGAGCAAGUUGUGUCGUCCAAGAGAGGUUUCCGCAGCUGAAGACGGGCCCUCGGUGGGUGCCGGAGGUUGGACGUUACCAUGGCAGGUGCCGUACUGAAGAUGAAGAAAAGCAAGAAGCAAAGAUAGUUACGACAAAUGACCCACUUUUGUCACCCAAGCAAGAUGGUUAAAGAGAGUGAGUUGGGCCCUCAGGGAGCGAGGAAGAUGGAUGGAGCCGCCCAAGAGACGAGUCAGCAGUUGAAGACGGGCCCUCGGUGAGUGCCGGAGGUUGGAGAGAAGACGACUAGAAGCAAGUGCCAAUUGUAAUUACGACAAAUGCAGAAUCCGACACCUGUAAGCCAAGGGAUCUCUGGUUAUGAAGCUUAUCUUUGUCACAGCACUGGACAAAAUGAGGAAGGAACAUACAGUGGAGGAACAGAAGCAUCAGAACCCUAAUGCAGUGUCAUUGGAUUCACCAUUAGGUAAAGCCAGAAGAAAAAAUAGCAAAUAGCCUGACCAGCUCUGGGAGGACUCUGCUAGCAAGGCAGAAUCUCCAGUAACGAUGCAUCUUUUUGACUGAAGAUGGAGCCAUCACCAAUUCAACACCGAACUAAAGAAAGCACCAGUUAUAACAGGGAGGAAAAGCCCCAGCCAGGACCAAACAGGAGAUCAUGAGCAUCACAACUGCACUGCUUGUUAGUGGGAAACACAAGAGAGAAUGUUGAGAGCAAGUUGUGCCGUCCAAGAGAGGAUUCCGCAGCUGAAGACGGGCCCUCGAUGGGUGCCGGAGGUUGGACGUUACCAUGGCGGGUGCCGUACUGAAGAUGAAGAAAAGCAAGAAGCCAAGAUAGUUAGGACAAAUGACCCACUUUCGUUACCCAAGCGAGAUGGUUAAAGAGAGUGAGCUGGGCCUUGGAGCGAGGAAGACGGAUGGAACCGUCCCAGAGAGGACUCUGCAGCUGAAGACAGGCCCUCGGUGGGUACCGGAGGUUGGAGAGAAGACAACUAGAAGCAAGUACCAAUGGUAAUUACGACAAAUGCAGACCCGACACCUGAAAGACAAGGGAUCUCUGGUAAUGAAGCCUAUCUUUGUCAGAGGACACACACCCAAAUCAACUGGACAAAAUGAGGAAGGAACAUACAUGGGAGGACCAGGAGCAUCAAAUCCUACUACAGAUUGUCUCUGGGAAAACCAAGGCAUCGCAACUCACCAGAAGUAGCUGGAGCUAACGUCGGUUGAGAACCAAGCUGGACUCCUCUUUGAAAUGUCAUUGGAUACACCAGAAGUCAAAGCCAGAAGAAAAAUGUCAAAUAACCUGACCAGCACUGGGAGGACUCUGCUAGCAAGGCAGAAUCUCCAGGAAUGAUGCAUCUUUUUGACUGAAGAUGGAGCCAUCAUCAAUUUUAACACUGAAGAAAAGAAAAUACCAGUGAUGACGAGGAGGAAAAGAUCCAUCUAGGACCAAACAGAUGAUCAUGAGCUUCAUAACUGACUCUGCUUGUUGGUGGGAAACACAGGCAAGGACGUUGAAGAGAGUUGUGUCGUCCAAGAGAGGUUUCGGCAGCUAAAGACGGGCCUGCUGUGGGUGCUGGAGGUUGGACCUUACUGCGGUGGGUGCCGGACAGAAGAUGAAGAAGGUGAGCACGAAGUAAAGAUAAUUACAACAAUUGACCCACUUUCGUCACCCAAGCAAGACGGUUAAAAAGAGUGAGCUGUGCCUCAGGGAGCGAGGUAGACGGAUGGAGCCGCCCAAGAGAGGAGUCAGCAGUUGAAGACUGGCCCUUGGUGGGUGUCGGAGGUCGAAGAGAAGACGACUAGGAGCAUGUGCCAAUGGUAAUUAGGACAAAUGCAGAACGCGACACCUGAAAGCCAAGGGAUCUCUGGUAAUGAAGCCUAUCUUUGUCACAGGACAGAAACCACACCCAAGUCAACACUGGCCAAAAUGAAGAAGGAACAUAGAGGGGAGGAACAGAAGCAUCAGAACCCUACCAUGGAUUGUCAUUGGGAAAACCAAGGCGUUACAACUGACCAGAAUUAGCUGGGCCUAACGUUGAUGGAGUACCAAGCUGACCUCUUUUCAGUGUCAUUGGAUCCACUGUCAGGGCAAAGCC